CCCGUUUUGAAAMMCGAACCAAGGAGUGCAAGAGGUACGCGAGUCGAAAGGAUUGUAAAUGGUGGGGUUGUGGGGAGUUCGCUCCUUUCCCCUCCAAUGGAGAGACCCAAUUGUUUUGGAAAAGGCGAAGUGAGAGCAAACAGUGCCAUGCACUGUUGGUGUGAGAGCCGGCGGGAGACCGUGGGCGCAUCGCAGACCGAGCCUAACGGUCACGCAGUGGCCGGUUUCGAGUGAGAGCGUUCCUGUUGCGACCCGAAAGAUGGUGAACUAUGCCCGAGGAGGGUGAAGCCAGAGGAAACUCUGGUGGAGGCCCGUAGCGAUUUCUGACGUGCAAAUCGAUCGUCAAACUUGGGUAUAGGGGCGAAAGACUAAUCGAACCAUCUAGUAGCUGGUUCCCUCCGAAGUUUCCCUUAGGAUAGCUGGAACUCGGAACAGUUUUAUCAGGUAAAGCGAAUGAUUAGAGGUCUUAGGGUUGAAACAACCUUAACCUAUUCUCAAACUUUAAAUUGGUAAGAAGCCCGACUUGCUUAAUUGAAGUAGGGCACAGAAUGAGAGUUCUUAGUGGGCCAUUUUUGGUAAGCAGAACUGGCGAUGCGGGAUGAACCGAACGCUGAGUUAAGGCGCCCAAAUCGACGCUCAUCAGACCCCACGAAAGGUGUUGGUUGAU
RNAcentral lists this ribosomal RNA (667 nucleotides) under Petrosia ficiformis. RNAcentral describes it as "eukaryotic LSU rRNA". It matches the Rfam family "Eukaryotic large subunit ribosomal RNA", at positions 648 to 1232 of the family's 3401-position model. The record is from RNAcentral. Lineage: Eukaryota; Metazoa; Porifera; Demospongiae; Haplosclerida; Petrosiidae.